This 206-nucleotide ribosomal RNA is filed under the name uncultured bacterium. RNAcentral's name for it is "partial 16S ribosomal RNA". It matches the Rfam family "Bacterial small subunit ribosomal RNA", at positions 568 to 774 of the family's 1533-position model. The record is from RNAcentral.
UGCGUAGACGGUUAGAUAAGUCGGGUGUGAAAGCCCCGGGCUCAACCUGGGAAUUGCAUUCGAGACUGUGUAGCUAGGGUACGGAAGAGGGAAGCGGAAUUUCAGGUGUAGCGGUGAAAUGCGUAGAUAUCUGAAGGAACACCAGCGGCGAAAGCGGCUUCCUGGUCCAGUACCGACGUUCAGGCACGAAAGCGUGGGAGCAAACA